UGGGGAAUUUUGGACAAUGGGCGCAAGCCUGAUCCAGCCAUACCGCGUGAGUGAAGAAGGCCUUCGGGUUGUAAAGCUCUUUCAGACGGAAAGAAACGGUUACGGCUAAUACCCGUGACUAAUGACGGUACCGUAAGAAGAAGCACCGGCUAACUACGUGCCAGCAGCCGCGGUAAUACGUAGGGUGCGAGCGUUAAUCGGAAUUACUGGGCGUAAAGCGUGCGCAGGCGGUUUGGUAAGACAGAUGUGAAAUCCCCGGGCUUAACCUGGGAACUGCAUUUGUGACUGCCAGACUAGAGUGUAGCAGAGGGGGGUAGAAUUCCACGUGUAGCAGUGAAAUGCGUAGAUAUGCGGAGGAACACCGAUGGCGAAGGCAAUCCCCUGGACCUGUACUGACGCUCAUGCACGAAAGCGUGGGGAGCAAACAGGAUUAGAUACCCCAGUAGUCCCUGAGCGGGCUGGCAAGGCGCAU
RNAcentral lists this ribosomal RNA (472 nucleotides) under uncultured bacterium. RNAcentral's name for it is "bacterial SSU rRNA". It matches the Rfam family "Bacterial small subunit ribosomal RNA", at positions 355 to 825 of the family's 1533-position model. The record is from RNAcentral.